RNAcentral lists this transfer RNA (84 nucleotides) under Planctomycetaceae bacterium. RNAcentral describes it as "tRNA-Leu". It matches the Rfam family "tRNA". Rfam says of the family: Transfer RNA (tRNA) molecules are approximately 80 nucleotides in length. Their secondary structure includes four short double-helical elements and three loops (D, anti-codon, and T loops). Lineage: Bacteria; Pseudomonadati; Planctomycetota; Planctomycetia; Planctomycetales; Planctomycetaceae. The record is from RNAcentral.
GCGGAUGUGGCGGAAUUGGCAGACGCGCUAGAUUCAGGUUCUAGUGCCCGCAAGGGCGUGGAGGUUCAACUCCUCUCAUCCGCA